Molecule: ribosomal RNA, 1043 nt
Filed under: uncultured archaeon
Lineage: Archaea
Description: bacterial SSU rRNA
Rfam family: Archaeal small subunit ribosomal RNA
Source: RNAcentral
UCUGGUUGAUCCUGGCGGAGGCCACUGCUAUCGGAGUUCGAUUAAGCCAUGCGAGUCGAGAGGUGAAAGACCUCGGCAUACUGCUCAGUAACACGUGGACAAUCUAACCUACGGAGGGGGAUAACCCCGGGAAACUGGGGAUAAUACCCCAUAGACUAUGGAUGCUGGAAUGCUUUGUAGUCGAAAGGUCCGCCGCCGUAGGAUGGGUCUGCGGCCGAUUAGGUUGUUGUUGGGGUAACGGCCCAACAAGCCUGUAAUCGGUACGGGUUGUGGGAGCAAGAGCCCGGAGAUGGAUUCUGAGACACGAAUCCAGGCCCUACGGGGCGCAGCAGGCGCGAAAACUUUACAAUGCGGGGAACCGUGAUAGGGGAACUCCGAGUGCCCGUUAAAUCGGGCUGUCCAUCUGUUUAAAUAACAGGUGAAGAAAGGGCCGGGCAAGACCGGUGCCAGCCGCCGCGGUAAUACCGGCGGCUCGAGUGGUGGCCACUAUUACUGGGCUUAAAGCGUUCGUAGCUGGUUUGUUAAGUCUCUGGGGAAAUCUUCCGGCUUAACCGGAAGGCGUCUCAGGGAUACUGGCAGACUAGGGACCGGGAGAGGUGAGGGGUACUCCAGGGGUAGGAGUGAAAUCCUGUAAUCCUUGGGGGACCACCUGUGGCGAAGGCGCCUCACCAGAACGGCUCCGACAGUGAGGGACGAAAGCUGGGGGAGCAAACCGGAUUAGAUACCCGGGUAGUCCCAGCUGUAAACGAUGCGCGUUAGGUGUAUCGGUGACCACGAGUCACCGAGGUGCCGAAGAGAAAUCGUGAAACGUGCCGCCUGGGAAGUACGGUCGCAAGGCUGAAACUUAAAGGAAUUGGCGGGGGAGCACCACAACGGGUGGAGCCUGCGGUUUAAUCGGACUCAACGCCGGGAAACUCACCAGUUAAGACAGCUGAAUGAUGGUCGGGCUGAAGACUCUACCUGACUAGCUGAGAGGAGGUGCAUGGCCGUCGUCAGUUCGUACUGUGAAGCAUCCUGUUAAGUCAGGCAACGAGCGAGACCCA